AAUUCUCUGUUGUUGCUGUUGUUGACGAGGUUGAGGUGCUGGAAUUGUCACAGCAGCAACCUGACGAUAUUGAUUUCUAUUCCCAACUCUUCUACCAUGUUGCACAGCACUGGCUUCACCCUCUCUUCGGCGAGGUGCCCCAGCAAAAGGUUUCUUAGAAGACGAGGAACCCACAUCCUGAAUUUUACCAGCUUUGAUCAAACUCUCUGUCCUCUCUCCACAGAUAACCACAUCUGAAAAACCACCGAAGGGG
Molecule: long non-coding RNA, 253 nt
Filed under: Lathyrus oleraceus (garden pea)
Lineage: Eukaryota; Viridiplantae; Streptophyta; Magnoliopsida; Fabales; Fabaceae
Description: Pisum sativum (pea) long non-coding RNA (PSAT_LNC001598)
Source: RNAcentral